Molecule: ribosomal RNA, 492 nt
Filed under: uncultured bacterium
Lineage: Bacteria
Description: partial 16S ribosomal RNA
Rfam family: Bacterial small subunit ribosomal RNA
Source: RNAcentral
GAUGAACGCUAGCUACAGGCUUAACACAUGCAAGUCGAGGGGAAACGGCAUCGAAAGCUUGCUUUUGAUGGGCGUCGACCGGCGCACGGGUGAGUAACGCGUAUCCAACCUGCCCAUCACUUGGGAAUAACCUUGCGAAAGUAAGACUAAUGCCCAAUGACAUCCCACGAAGGCAUCCGAAUGGGAUUAAAGAUUUAUCGGUGAUGGAUGGGGAUGCGUCUGAUUAGCUUGUUGGCGGGGUGACGGCCCACCAAGGCAACGAUCAGUAGGGGUUCUGAGAGGAAGGUCCACCACAUUGGAACUGAGACACGGUCCAAACUCCUACGGGAGGCAGCAGUGAGGAAUAUUGGUCAAUGGGCGAGAGCCUGAACCAGCCAAGUAGCGUGCAGGAUGACGGCCCUAUGGGUUGUAAACUGCUUUUAUAAGGGAAUAAAGUGGGUCACGUGUGACUUUUUGCAUGUACCUUAUGAAUAAGGACCGGCUAAUUCCGUG